GGAGGCACGGAAGGCGGGGCCAGCUUCGCCCAGCGGGUCACUCGAAGCCCCAUUGGUCGAUGUGAAAGCAUCUGAUGAGCUCAUUGGAUGAACCCGAAGCAAGGCCGCACCCCCUUGGCCCCGGAGAAGAGGCCGUCUUGGGAGCCAGGCUAGGAGGUCAGACCCUUGGCCAUCACCCACUGAAGUUCUCUCCCUGUCCGAAUGGUCUGGCUCCUGCCCCAGCACCCACCCGGUGGCCAUAGGCACUGGGAGGCAACGUGAUCUCAUCACCCUCACUUGCAGUGGUUCCUGCCCAGCCCGGGCGGCUCCCUCUGAUCGCAUCACAGCACCGGCCCCUCCAUGGCCUUCUGGAAGGCCGAAGAGAGAAAUGCCGGCUUCAGGAUUCCUUCCAGCAUCCCCGAAUGUGUGCAUGAGCCUCAACUCUGAAGGCGCAGAUUGCCGUUAUGACCGACCCGCGUGGCCGUGCCACUGCCACGACUGAGACGUGCCUUUCAUUCAGAUUUCUUGUUCCUGGCUGAAAAUUCUAUUUCGUCUAUAGUUGCUCAAAUGAUCACUUGGUGGUGGCAGUGACAGAAGCAGAAAGUGCAGUAUUGGUGGGUGCGGUGGCUGUGGCACCGUUCCUGCGGCAACGGUGGUGAAUGUAUUGGUGCAGGUGUCAGCCGGUUCCUUCGUAUGACCCCACAGAGCAAACACGGAGCAACCGGAAGAUGAGAAUGUCCAACUGGAAAAGCGAUGGGCGGUCAGAAAGCUUCCUUGGCGGAGUGUCCCUUCC
This is a long non-coding RNA of Panthera uncia (snow leopard), 772 nucleotides long. RefSeq lists it as uncharacterized. NCBI's taxonomy places the organism in Eukaryota, Metazoa, Chordata, Mammalia, Carnivora, Felidae. The record is from RefSeq and is a predicted model, not a curated record. The transcript is spliced from 3 exons.